GUGCGAUUUACCGUGUCUGUGGCGUCGUUUGAGUUUCGAAAGAAGCGAGAAGUUGCAGCCUUUAAAAAUUGCCUAGCGACUUUUUUGACUUUUUGGGGUCAAUCUUUGUAAAACGGCUACUUGGGU
Molecule: non-coding RNA, 126 nt
Organism: Campylobacter upsaliensis JV21
Lineage: Bacteria; Pseudomonadati; Campylobacterota; Epsilonproteobacteria; Campylobacterales; Campylobacteraceae
Source: Rfam